RNAcentral lists this non-coding RNA (174 nucleotides) under Salisediminibacterium beveridgei. RNAcentral's name for it is "Bacillus beveridgei Lysine sequence". It matches the Rfam family "Lysine riboswitch aptamer". Rfam says of the family: Riboswitches are metabolite binding domains within certain messenger RNAs that serve as precision sensors for their corresponding targets. Allosteric rearrangement of mRNA structure is mediated by ligand binding, and this results in modulation of gene expression. Lineage: Bacteria; Bacillati; Bacillota; Bacilli; Caryophanales; Bacillaceae. The record is from Rfam by way of RNAcentral.
AAUACUGAUAGAGGUGCAGGUAGAUGAGUAACGUGACUGAGUCCGGUUUGACGAGGAUGUUACGUGAAAGGUGAUCCUGCCGAAGUUCCUGGCCGAUUCCGCGUCUUUGAGCUGGUGGACAGUUGAAUAAACUGUCUAUUGUCACUGUCAUUGCAGUGGAGCACUAUCCUGAUA